This 496-nucleotide ribosomal RNA is filed under the name uncultured bacterium. RNAcentral's name for it is "partial 16S ribosomal RNA". It matches the Rfam family "Bacterial small subunit ribosomal RNA", at positions 28 to 506 of the family's 1533-position model. The record is from RNAcentral.
GAUGAACGCUGGCGGCGUGCCUAAUACAUGCAAGUCGAGCGAACGGACGAGAUGCUUGCUUCUAUGAUGUUAGCGGCGGACGGGUGAGUAACACGUGGGUAACCUACCUAUAAGAGUGGGAUAACUUCGGGAAACGAGAGCUAAUACCGGAUAAAAUUUUUAAACACAUGGUUUAAGAGUGAAAGACGGUCUUGCUUUCACUUAUAGAUAGAUCCGCUCUGCUUGAGUUAGUUGGUAAGGUAACGGCUUACCAGGGAAAGGACCCAUAGCCGACCUGAGGGGGUGCUCGGCCACUCGGGAACGGAGACACGCCCCAGACCCCCACGGGAGGACGCAGUGGGAACUCUGCCGAAAGAGGCGAGACCCUGAGGGAGAAACGCCGCGUGAGUGAUGAGGUUUUUGGGCUCGUAAAUCUCUGUGAUUAGGGAAGAACAGAUGUGUAAGUAACUGUCAUCAUCUGGACGGUACCAAAUAAAAAAGCACCGGCAAAUUACUU